CAAAAGUGGAGAGGGAUCCAAAUAUGUUGCGCUAUCCUUAUAUUGUUCGACCUCUCUGCGGCUUUCGAUGUCAUAGACCACAAUAUCUUAGAUGAUGACAUCAUUUUGGCUAUACUAUUUUCAUGGAUGUACUGUUGUACUCCUUCAAGUGAAAGGUGAAGAUAAAGAACAGUGAUCAAUCUCAUCGCUCAUAUAAGGAAUACAAAAUAAAGAGUGACAAGGAGGAAUAAGCAUCCCCUGUCGACCAGUCAAACGACCCGUGAGCCCUAUAUGUUGAUCAGGACCUAAUUUGGACAAUGCCAACGCUGACCUACUCGUGGAGGGAAAAAUAUACCAUAAUGUGUGUGUGUGUGUGUGUGUGUGUGUGUGUGUGUGUGUGUGUGUGUGUGUGUGUGUGUAUUCCCUAUUGUUUUAUGAAUUAUAAACCUUUGCUGUGUUUUUGUUUUCAUUUCUUGAUAUAGACACUGUAAUGUGCAAAUUAUCUUACAACUUGACAUAAAAACCUAAACUUACAUCUACAUACCAAAAAAUUAACUUUCUAAAUUACAAUCAUAAAACAAAUCCUGAUUUAUUCGGUGACAGUUUCUAUUGUCUCUUGAUUACGACAUAAGUCAAUUGCCAUCAUUGAUUUGUUUUCCGAAAAAACUUGUUCAACAUCCUUGUUAUAAGAAGUACAUCCGAAACAAGUCUAAAUCAAAACAUUUAAACUGAAUUAUUUGAUGACAAUUUCACUUGUCUCUUAAUUACGACAUAAUCAUUAGCGAUCCUUGAUUUGCUUUCCAGAAUAAUUGAUUCUAAUCUCUCGCCACCCCUCUUGGCGUUAAAUACCUUCCUGGUACGUGUUACAAAUUUGCUCGUGUCACAAAUGUGGUUAUAAUAUCCCCCACUAUCCUAAUUGCAUGCCCUAUACUCGGACUCAUAAAACAUUAAAUAUUUAAUGAUAUUUGUAAAAUGUCUUAAAAGUUUCUUAUAUCAACACCUCAUUGACAAUUUCUAUAAUAAAUAUUACUUGUGCAAACCUAUCGAUAGCAAAUAUAAGAAAUAUUUAACUAAAUUAAGAAUUUCAUCUCAUAAUCUAAAUAUUGAAAAAGAAAGACAAUAUGGCAUUGCAAAAUACAAUAGGUUUUGUGAAAAAUGUAGCUUGUCUGUUGUAGAAGACGAAUUCCAUUUCAUUCUUGCAUUCUUCAAUGUCCAUUCUAUAAUGAACUGAAAUCAAAAUAUAUAAAAAGAUAUUAUUAUAAAAGGCCAAAUACUUUCAAACUGGUUCAAUUACUAAGUGUUCAAAAUGUUAAAGAAUUGACCAAUUUAGGUAAAUACUUGUAUUUAGCAUGUUUAAAAAGAGAUGCUUAAUUUAACUUUUGUUCUAUUUAUGUAUACUCUCCUGUGUGAUGUCUGUAUAUACCAUAUUUAUGUUAUUCUGUUUCUGAUGAGCCGUUUGGCAUCGAUAAUAAAGAACUUGAAAAUC
This is a long non-coding RNA of Ostrea edulis (European flat oyster), 1465 nucleotides long. RefSeq lists it as uncharacterized. Lineage: Eukaryota; Metazoa; Mollusca; Bivalvia; Ostreida; Ostreidae. The transcript is spliced from 3 exons. The record is from RefSeq and is a predicted model, not a curated record.